This 841-nucleotide small RNA is filed under the name Pan troglodytes (chimpanzee). RNAcentral describes it as "processed transcript". The record is from RNAcentral. Lineage: Eukaryota; Metazoa; Chordata; Mammalia; Primates; Hominidae.
UGAGACCACAGCUGGCCUCUAACCCUUGUUGUCCUUGGGCCCCGACAGGUGAAGCAACUCGUGCCCAUCCGCGAUCAGUCCCUGCAGGAGGAGCUGGCUCGCCAGCAUGCUAACGAGCGUCUGAGGCGCCAGUUUGCUGCACAAGCCAAUGCCAUUGGGCCCUGGAUCCAGAACAAGAUGGAGGAGAUUGCCCGGAGCUCCAUCCAGAUCACAGGAGCCCUGGAAGACCAGAUGAAUCAGCUGAAGCAGUAUGAGCACAACAUCAUCAACUACAAGAACAACAUCGACAAGCUGGAGGGAGACCAUCAGCUCAUCCAGGAGGCCCUUGUCUUUGACAACAAGCACACGAACUACACGAUGGAGCACAUUCGUGUUGGAUGGGAGCUGCUGCUGACAACCAUCGCCAGAACCAUCAAUGAGGUGGAGACUCAGAUCCUGACGAGAGACGCGAAAGGCAUCACCCAGGAGCAGAUGAAUGAGUUCAGAGCCUCCUUCAACCACUUUGACAGGAGGAAGAAUGGCCUGAUGGAUCAUGAGGAUUUCAGAGCCUGCCUGAUUUCCAUGGGUUAUGACCUGGGUGAAGCCGAAUUUGCCCGCAUUAUGACCCUGGUAGAUCCCAACGGGCAAGGCACCGUCACCUUCCAAUCCUUCAUCGACUUCAUGACUAGAGAGACGGCUGACACCGACACUGCCGAGCAGGUCAUCGCCUCCUUCCGGAUCCUGGCUUCUGAUAAGCCAUACAUCCUGGCGGAGGAGCUGCGUCGGGAGCUGCCCCCGGAUCAGGCCCAGUACUGCAUCAAGAGGAUGCCCGCCUACUCGGGCCCAGGCAGUGUGCCUGGCG